This is a long non-coding RNA of Dipodomys ordii (Ord's kangaroo rat), 395 nucleotides long. RefSeq lists it as uncharacterized. Lineage: Eukaryota; Metazoa; Chordata; Mammalia; Rodentia; Heteromyidae. The record is from RefSeq and is a predicted model, not a curated record. The transcript has 3 exons.
GAGUGAGCUGAGGUUAAGGCUGCGGGUGACCAGAAGUGUGGUAUCUGCUCCCAGAAUUCAGGUCCUUGACUUGUCCUGCACAUGGUGCCUAGUGGAGAAAGAUCUGAUAGUAUUACUUCAAGAUUAGAACAGAUCUUGCCCAGAGGAAGAACUUCACUAGCAGAAGAUGUGAUGGUGUGUUAAGUGUGCAAUCUACAGUUCCAGCAAGCAAAACAGACACGGAAGAGGAAAACUGUUGACCUAUGCAGACUAGUGGCUUUGAGUUUUUGCUACAGAAUCUGCUUACUUGCAUAUUUGUUUUUUUCAUCCAAAGCACCUGCUGACUACUCAGUAGCAGGUGCCACUGUUUUGAAAAGUUUUUAAGUAAAAACUUGAAAUGGACAAAAUUCCUUGUA